AUACUAAUUCCUCCGUCCAGAAAUAUUUGUUGAAGAAAUAGGUGUAUCUAAACGUAUUUUAGUUGUAGAUACAUCCAUUUUUAUCUAUUUCUCUAACAAGUAUUCUCAGACGGAGGGAGUAGUAG
Non-coding RNA from Triticum aestivum (bread wheat), 125 nucleotides. NCBI's taxonomy places the organism in Eukaryota, Viridiplantae, Streptophyta, Magnoliopsida, Poales, Poaceae. The record is from Rfam.